Molecule: ribosomal RNA, 322 nt
Filed under: uncultured eukaryote
Lineage: Eukaryota
Description: partial 18S ribosomal RNA
Rfam family: Eukaryotic small subunit ribosomal RNA
Source: RNAcentral
CCCUUAGAUGUUCUGGGCCGCACGCGUGCUACACUGAGUGGAUCAGCGGGUCAGGUUGCGCGAAAGCGUUUCCUAAUCUUUAAAUCCGCUCGUGAUGGGGAUUGACGGUUGCAAUUUUCUGUCAUGAACGAGGAAUACCUUGUAAGCGCGGGUCAUCAUCCCGCGCUGAAUACGUCCCUGCCCUUUGUACACACCGCCCGUCGCUCCUACCGAUUGAAUGGCUUAGUGAGCUUUCUGGACUGUUGCUUUUCGUUGGAAACUUCGUUAAGCAUACGGGAAGGAAAUCAAACUUGAUCAUUUAGAGGAAGUAAAAGUCGUAACA